RNAcentral lists this ribosomal RNA (497 nucleotides) under uncultured bacterium. RNAcentral's name for it is "partial 16S ribosomal RNA". It matches the Rfam family "Bacterial small subunit ribosomal RNA", at positions 28 to 507 of the family's 1533-position model. The record is from RNAcentral.
GAUGAACGCUGUCGGCGUGCCUAAUACAUGCAAGUCGAGCGAACAGACGAGGAGCUUGCUCCUCUGACGUUAGCGGCGGACGGGUGAGUAACACGUGGAUAACCUACCUAUAAGACUGGGAUAACUUCGGGAAACCGGAGCUAAUACCGGAUAACAUGUUGAACCGCAUGGUUCAACAGUGAAAGACGGUCUUGCUGUCACUUAUAGAUGGAUCCGCGCCGCAUUAGCUAGUUGGUAAGGUAACGGCUUACCAAGGCAACGAUGCGUAGCCGACCUGAGAGGGUGAUCGGCCACACUGGAACUGAGACACGGUCCAGACUCCUACGGGAGGCAGCAGUAGGGAAUCUUCCGCAAUGGGCGAAAGCCUGACGGAGCAACGCCGCGUGAGUGAAGAAGGUCUUCGGAUCGUAAAACUCUGUUAUUAGGGAAGAACAAAUGUGUAAGUAACUAUGCACGUCUUGACGGUACCUAAUCAGAAAGCCACGGCUAACUACGUG